Molecule: ribosomal RNA, 391 nt
Filed under: uncultured bacterium
Lineage: Bacteria
Description: bacterial SSU rRNA
Rfam family: Bacterial small subunit ribosomal RNA
Source: RNAcentral
GGACGAACGCUGGCGGCGUGCUUAACACAUGCAAGUCGAGCGGUAAGGCCCUUUCGGGGGUACACGAGCGGCGAACGGGUGAGUAACACGUGGGUGACCUGCCCUUAGCUCUGGGAUAAGCCUGGGAAACUGGGUCUAAUACCGGAUAUGACUCCAUGACGCAUGUUGUGGGGUGGAAAGCCUUGUGCGGCUAGGGAUGGGCCCGCGGCCUAUCAGCUUGUUGGUGGGGUGAUGGCCUACCAAGGCGACGACGGGUAGCCGGCCUGAGAGGGCGACCGGCCACACUGGGACUGAGACACGGCCCAGACUCCUACGGGAGGCAGCAGUGGGGAAUCUUGCGCAAUGGGCGAAAGCCUGACGCAGCGACGCCGCGUGAGGGAUGACGGCCUGG